RNAcentral lists this transfer RNA (87 nucleotides) under Deltaproteobacteria bacterium. RNAcentral's name for it is "tRNA-Ser". It matches the Rfam family "tRNA". Rfam says of the family: Transfer RNA (tRNA) molecules are approximately 80 nucleotides in length. Their secondary structure includes four short double-helical elements and three loops (D, anti-codon, and T loops). Lineage: Bacteria; Pseudomonadati; Myxococcota; Myxococcia. The record is from RNAcentral.
GGAGAGGUGGCCGAGUGGUUGAAGGCGCACGCCUGGAACGCGUGUAAUCGGGAAACCGGUUCGUGGGUUCGAAUCCCACCCUCUCCG